This is a long non-coding RNA of Lycium barbarum (goji berry), 869 nucleotides long. RefSeq lists it as uncharacterized. The transcript has 3 exons. The record is from RefSeq and is a predicted model, not a curated record. NCBI's taxonomy places the organism in Eukaryota, Viridiplantae, Streptophyta, Magnoliopsida, Solanales, Solanaceae.
ACACAUAUACUUUCUCUCUCUUCAAACACCACAACACUGAGAGAGAACACUUUUGCACCACUGCAUCUAGGGCGAAAUCGUGAGAGAUCAAAAUAAUGUGAAUCUAGGCUUCUAUUGCGUUUUCUCUUCUUUUGCUACAUCUUUUAUCUGAAGGACAGGCUGUUGAAAAGGGUCGAGAUCCAACACCAGCUGAGGUACAUUUGCACGUCCAUACACAUGAUCAUGAUGGAGCAUCUUUUAUUGAUAAGCAUGCCCAAGCUAUCCACGAAAGAUGUCAAGAAAUAUUACGGGAAAAAUCACAAUCUCAAUCUGAUAUUGAUCAAUGUGAAGCAUAUUACCAAGCCGCGGAAGGAGCAAUGAAGAGAAGAAUAUAUGAUCUUGGAUCUCAAGCACAAAGUUACUACGGGCCGAAUCUUCGUGUCACUUCUGAUUUCGAUGCUUCAUCAUAAGUACCACCUUCGGUUUCUCAAUCAACACCAACAGAAAAUAUGGAGGAGUUGGUGAUGCGAUGGAUUCCUACACUGACCGAUCUCAUGCUUCCCGUAUUUAUUGAGUAGGCACGCGAAGCAAUUUCUUCACCAGCACACCAUCCAAAUGCUCAUAUCUACAACCCAUCACUCGUGACACCUAUAGUGCCUCCUAAUACUACUGCUAACGUUGUCAAUGUUGUUCCAUUAGUUUCAGAUCACGAUUAAGUCAUGCAUUAGUUUUUGAUAUUUUUUGUUUUUUGUUGGAAGAAAAAAAAUUAUACAGUAACAAUACUCGAUGGAUGUUUGUUCUUUUGGUAGUUGCUACCUUGGUGUUGUCGAUGUUUUGUUAAACCUUCUAUAAAUAUUAUUUUAUAUGAAUGUCAGUUAUUUUGAAGGUUA